RNAcentral lists this ribosomal RNA (1160 nucleotides) under Heterobothrium okamotoi. Its description in RNAcentral is "16S ribosomal RNA". The stretch from base 825 to 1117 matches the Rfam family "Archaeal large subunit ribosomal RNA", at positions 2151 to 2715 of the family's 2987-position model. Lineage: Eukaryota; Metazoa; Platyhelminthes; Monogenea; Mazocraeidea; Diclidophoridae. The record is from RNAcentral.
GAAUUAGAAAAGAAUAUUAAAGUUUAUUUGGUUUUAGUACCUUUUGCAUCAUGAUUAGGCGACAUUUAUUUUUGACUCAUGAAUAAGUGUUUCAUCUGACCGGUAUCGAAGUAUAUUUUAUAAUACAAGCAUUUCCAGCCUGACAGAAGUCACGGUCAUUUCGAACUACUGGGUCAACUUCAAGGACGCUUAAGUUGUAAAAGGGGUUGCCAUACAGCACGAAACCGGUCUACCAGUGAACCCCUUUUACAACUUAAGCGUCCUUGAAGUUGACCCAGUAGUUCGAAAUGACCGUGACUUCUGUCAGGCUGGAAAUGCUUGUAUUAUAAAAAAAAGAUAUUUAUUUUUUAUUAAAAAAUUUUGAAAGUAGAAGAAGUACACUAGUUUAGAUUAAAGACAUUAUUGUUAAUAUUAAUACUAUAAGGGAAGAUCUGUUAAUUUAUUUUUGAUAUUAUUAGGUGAAAGGUGCCUUUUAGUAUGGUUUGUGUUAAAACUUACAAUUUUAUUAUACAUUGAUUUCUUUAAAACAUCUUAUUUUAAUGAUUAUAAUAGCUUCUUAGAAUGUUUAAAUAAGUAAUAUUAAUAUAUGUAUUUUUUCUUGAUAAUGCUCGGACUGUUUAUCAAAAACAUUUCCUCUUUUGUGUAUAAGAGGUCAAACCUGCUCAGUGUUGUACUAUAAAUAGCCGCAUUAGCCUGAGUGUGCUAAGGUAGCAUAAUUACUAGCUCUUUAAUUGGGAGAUUGUUUGAAAGGUUUAACCAGGGCAUAAGAUUAGAUUACAUUUUUAGUUGAAAUUAGUUUGUUUGUACAGAACCAAACAAAAAAAUUUAAGACGGGAAGACCCUAGGAGGUUUAUAAAAAUUUUUAUUUUUUUGGGGCAAAAUUUUAUUUUUCAUUAAUCGUUAAGAUCCUUUAAAUAAGAAAACGAAGAUAGCUACCCUAGGGAUAACAGAGUAAGAAAUAAGUAGAGAUCCUAUCGAUUUAUUUAAUUGCUACCUCGAUGUUGACUUAAGAGAGAGUUAAUUGGCGUAGAUGCUAAUUAAACAGGUCUGUUCGACCUUUAAAUUCUUUCAUGAGUUGAGUUAAGACCGAUGUAAAUCAGGUUGGUUCCUAUCUAAAGAUGUCUUUUUUUAGUACGAAAGGAUCAAAAAAGGUUUAUAUU